GUGUCAGCAGCCGCGGUAAUACGAAGGUGGCAAGCGUUACUCGGAAUUACUAGGCGUAAAGGGCAGGUAGGUGGUUUUGUAAGUCUGUUGUGAAAGCUCCCGGCUUAACUGGGAGAGGUCAACGGAUACUGCAGAACUUGAGUAUAGGAGAGGUUACUGGAAUUCCCGGUGUAGCGGUGAAAUGCGCAGAGAUCGGGAGGAACACCAAUGGCGAAAGCAGGUAACUGGACUAUUACUGACACUCAGCUGCGAAAGCUAGGGGAGCAAACAGGAUUAGAAACCCCUGUAGUCC
This 292-nucleotide ribosomal RNA is filed under the name uncultured bacterium. RNAcentral describes it as "partial 16S ribosomal RNA". It matches the Rfam family "Bacterial small subunit ribosomal RNA", at positions 505 to 796 of the family's 1533-position model. The record is from RNAcentral.